Molecule: long non-coding RNA, 867 nt
Organism: Corvus hawaiiensis (hawaiian crow)
Lineage: Eukaryota; Metazoa; Chordata; Aves; Passeriformes; Corvidae
Exons: 4
Source: RefSeq, a predicted model, not a curated record
AAAUGGUAGCAUUCUCAGUUUCCCUAGGCCUUGCAUAAAAAUGACCUAUUGAGUAGCUUUCUUUGAUGAAGAGUAGAUUUAUUUAUACCUUUGGGCCAGAACUCUGAGUGUGGCAACUUGCCUUGGUGACACAUCUGCUCAUUAAUUGUGUUUCAUCUCUGCUCUCUAGUUGAUAGUUUGUUCUGGUAAAUCCUAGUGAUGCUACAAGAACUAGCAAAUAAAGUGAUGAACAUGACAGAAGAAACCUCUUCAUCUCAGAAGGUGACUGUUACAGGAAACUGACAACUACAGAUUUUAUAGAGAGAAGAGCAUGUCAUGAAUUAUUUAGGGACAUAAUGACUGCAAUUAAAAUGAAACACAUUUAUAUGUCCAUUGAAGAGAUGCUGAAUGGAAAAAACAGGAUUAAGAAGCAAUAUAAUGCAGGUACAGCACGCGGUGUGACUGACACAUAAAGCCUGAUUGGAAUUGCAAGUUGCAUCUUAACCCAAGGCAGGUACAGCCAUUAUGCCCUGGCAGUCCAAUUCUUCAAUUGUUUGCUGAGAUUUCUUGAAAUACAUCACAAUUCUGUCAUUGACCAUACACUAAUCUGUCCUUACAGAAGAAACAAGGAAUGGAUAUUUCAAUCUCUGAGAUUUCAUCCCGAUAGGCAGGCAGGAUGCAGCCUUGAGGCACUAUGGAAAUUUGAAGCUGACCAGAGAUGUGCUAAGUGAUUUUCACCAUCUCCUGGCUCAUCUCUGUGGCUAAAUAAUAAAGGGCUAGGGAACAAUCUCUGGCCGACAGAACAGGUAUCAUGCAUAGUUUCUUGUAAGAAGUGAUUAGACCUAAUCCAUUAUAUAUCAAAUGCAUAUUAGAAUGAGAUUGCCAGAG